This 207-nucleotide ribosomal RNA is filed under the name uncultured bacterium. Its description in RNAcentral is "partial 16S ribosomal RNA". It matches the Rfam family "Bacterial small subunit ribosomal RNA", at positions 568 to 774 of the family's 1533-position model. The record is from RNAcentral.
CGUGUAGGCGGCUAGGUAGGUCCGUUGUGAAAACUCGAGGCUCAACCUCGAGACGUCGAUGGAAACCAUCUGGCUAGAGUCCGGAAGAGGAGAGUGGAAUUCCUGGUGUAGCGGUGAAAUGCGCAGAUAUCAGGAAGAACACCCGUGGCGAAGGCGGCUCUCUGGGACGUGACUGACGCUGAGACGCGAAAGCGUGGGGAGCGAACA